Molecule: ribosomal RNA, 531 nt
Filed under: uncultured bacterium
Lineage: Bacteria
Description: partial 16S ribosomal RNA
Source: RNAcentral
CUUUCAGUUACCGCGUAGGGCCACUGGUCUGAUAGAUAGACGCAGAACAUUGAUGUCCACUGCCUCUCAAAAGUUCUCAGACACUACCUUAGGCGGUAACGCAGCAGUGAACUGCGCCCCACAAUUCACACCUACUGCCGACCUUAGGAUCAAAGGCCGUAAUAAUAGAUCAUCAGGCAUAGGUCGCUAUUAUAGCGAAGCCCAUGAUGAUACCGGAGUUAUCUUACAUCUAAGAGCUGGGAUGCCCCAGUAUAACUCUAUCCUUAAAUUCUGGAGUGGUGCUUUUAACUACAAAGCAUCAACCCUAGCUGCCACUGGGCGACAUCCGGGUUUGUUUUAUAACCUUGGCCGUAUAACUGGCUUUAUAGUUACAUUGCCGAUACAACCUAUCAUCUUUGGUGUAAGAGGUAUCAGUUAUCUGUUAUUAGGUAAUAACCGAAGUACAAGGUACUAUAACCUUAAGCCAGCUAUGCCUCUUUAUUGGACAGCAGUUCAAAAGAUGGUUAACGCCAUAGCUGUAAAUAUGGGUCU